CUUUUAAGAUUUAUUUUGCUUAAAAACUUUUAAAGAUUUAUUUUGCUUUUAAGUGCUUUUCUUGGGUGGCAGACUGGUAUUUUAUUUUUAUUUGACGUCAUGCUAAGACGCAACACAUCAUCCUAGUAGACUUCCUAUAUAAGCAAUGACCAAUUAUAAAAUGUAACAGAGGAAAAGGUCUUACUUAUAAUAGCAUUACUUCACCAGAAAAAGAUACCUAUGAAUAAACUAAAUGAAAAAUUACCACCUAUACAAGGAGAAGUUUACGAAGGUAUUGAAGAAUAUAAAUGAAGACAUGAAUUCUAUGGAAAGAUGUUUAUAUAAGAAGAUUCAACAUUAUAAAGAUGUCAAUUCUUCCCAUAUCAGACUCUACAUAUAAUGCAAUUUCAAUAAACAUAGCAAGGAGAUUUUAUUUUGGCUAGUGAUACUGGUUCUAAAGUUCAUAUGGAAAAGGAGGGAAACCAGGAAAAAAAUUGUAAAAUAAAAGUUAAUGAAGGGAUUGGCCCUACUAUGUGCCAAAAUACAUUAUAAAGUUGUAUUAAUUAAAACAGCGCAUUACUGGCACGUGAGCAGGCAGACAGAUGAAUGGAACAGAAUAGAGUACAGAAGUAGACCUAUAUUAGAUAAAGUAACAAUACGUGGUUUAAAGAAAGACAGAAAAAAGGAAAAAAAAUGAAUGGCUCAUAAAACGAAAGAUGAUUUCUCAUUUUCAUAAAGUCCAAAACAGGUGUUCCUGCUUGGCAGGCUCUCCUCCAGGCAAGGAUUCUGGAGCUCAUGCUCCUUGCAUCUUUAGCUCUGCCAUGCUCAGUAUGUGGCUUCUCAAGUUUUUCUGGAGGAUAUCUCCGUUCCACAUGGCAGAAGGCAAAGAGGAUGGAGGAUCAUGUGUGGGAAGCUUUUACGUGCCAGGUCCAUCACUUCCUGACUGCAGUCGAAGCUGGGAAACUAACGUGCUGUGAGCCCAGAGAGAGGAAGGAAAAGCUUUGGGCCCUUACAUUAACGCAGAACACCUGCUUUGGCCUGCAUUCGGCAUCCCACUGUAGCUCUGACAUUUUUAUUAUUGUAUCCUGAGGCUAAUGUUCAGCAUAGUCUGCCCUCCUGCUGCAAGAGACAUCCUGGAAAGUCCACCCUUGCAGGGUGGAGCACGUUCCGUGACACCUCAGAAUGACUCGGGAAGAGAAGCAGAAAGAUUCAGACACAAGUUGGAUGCUGUCAGAAUGUGCAGGAACUGUUACUUAUGGCUGCAGGUAAAGUUACUAGCUGGGACAUUAACAGCAUCUGCUACAGCAAGAAUUAAGACACCAAUUCCGUCUAUAUUCCUUUCAAGCAGUUUUAAACAGCAUCUGUUGUAUUGCUGAAGGUGUAGGCAAACAGCAUGCUGAUGUACUGUUGUUCCGAAUGUGUAUUGAUACAGCCGCUAUGAAGGGCAACUGGACGGUGGCUGUCAAUAUUGAAGGUGUGGGAAUUCCCUGGGGGUCCAGUGGUUAGGACUUCACGUUUUCACUGCCUAGGGUGUGGGUUCAGUCCCUGGUUGGGGAAUUAAGGUCCCUCAAGGUACGCGGCAUGGCCAAAAAAUAUAUAUGUAUAAUAUAUAUAUUGAAGGUGUAUAUACUUUUUGAUCCAGGUUUAGGAAUUUCACUGCUAGGAAUUGAUCCUGAAGAUAUUGAUGCAAAGCCUUUCAUACAAGUAUUUUCAUUGUAAUCAUAGAGGAUUGGGCACCGGUUUCCUCCAUGGGGCACUGGGUAAAUUAUUGUACAUCCAUAUAGUGGCACCCUUACAUAGAAGGGGAUCCUCUCUGUGUACUGACAUUGAACACUCUUAUCAGAAGGCAGCAGAAAAUGAUUAACUGUUUAUUCAGUAUACUACUGUGCUGUAUAAGUGGGAAAAGAAAAAGUGUGUUUGUAUAUGUACAAACUAUCUCCAGAAGAAGAUUUCUACAUGCUAUGGAUUGUAUUCUUCUUAUAACUUUUCUGUUAUUCCUAGGGACUUGGUAUAAGAGGUGGCAGCUCCAGGGUAGUAUUAGUCUACCAAAUGGUAGAUUGUGAAAACAAGUGUGAUGAAAACUGACAAAUAAUAACAGAGUACAGCAAAGUGACUGGAUAGCAGGUAAUCAUUCACAAACUGGUGGUUUUCCUGUUCACCAGCAAUAGAUAGUUAGAAAAUGUAAUGGAAGGGAAUUUGCAACAGAAACCUAAGUAUAAAACACCUAAGAAUAAACAUAACAAAUAUAUAAGACCUUUACAGGGGAAAAAGUAAACUAUAGGACAUAGAAAAACGCCUAGAUAAAUGGAGACUAUUAAUGGUCUCAAUAUAUUAUGAUGCCAGUUCUCUCCAAAUUGUUCCAUAAAGACAAUGUAAUCCCCCAAAUAUCCUAAUAAUAUUUAGUAUAUAGUUUAACAAGCUAAUUUAAGAAUUCAUAAGUAAGGCUACAAGUAUAUGCGUAGCUUAGACAGUUAUGGAGUGGGAGAAAUCAAAUGAUCAGUAAAUGUAAAAAUCAAUGUUAUCCUCCCUAGUCAUUGCAGACGUGUAAAUUAAAAUAAGAUGUAACUUUUCACCAUAUAAUUGGCAAAAAAUAAAAAAUGUUGAUACUACCAAUCAAGAAUGUGAGGAAAUGGUAUUCUCCCAUUCAACUGAUAGAAAAAACAUUAUUUAAAGCUCUCUGAAAAGCAACGUGGCAGUAACUUUGAAAAUGGUAAUUAUUCAUUCUCAAUGACCCAGCAAUUCCAUUUCUCAAUAUCUAUCCUGUAUGCAUCAAACAUGUAUUUUAAAUGGCACGCACAAAGAUAUUCUUACCCCCAGUUCAUAGUUGCAAAGAAAAGAAAAAAGGACAACAACCUAAAUACCCAUCGAUAUAUUCAUAAAUGGCUACAUAAGCCAUAGUAAAGCCCUACUAUGAAAUAUUAUGUAGUAAUUUAAAAGAAUGAUGUAAAUCAAUAUCUACUGACAUGAAAAGAAUAAAAAACAAGGUUUAGAAUACUGAAUUCAAUAGCAUCCCACUUAAGAAAAAUAUAAAACAACACUAAACACUUGUACAGGUACAAGUGCAUGAUUAUAUAUUAAUUUUUUUUGAAUUUAAUUUUAUUUUUUUAUACAGCAGGUUCUUAU
Molecule: non-coding RNA, 3102 nt
Organism: Delphinapterus leucas (beluga whale)
Lineage: Eukaryota; Metazoa; Chordata; Mammalia; Artiodactyla; Monodontidae
Source: RefSeq, a predicted model, not a curated record